Molecule: long non-coding RNA, 1219 nt
Filed under: Setaria viridis
Lineage: Eukaryota; Viridiplantae; Streptophyta; Magnoliopsida; Poales; Poaceae
Description: long non-coding RNA (SVIR_LNC009916)
Source: RNAcentral
CUUGGCCCCUUUCAAAGCCUGUUCUCGUCCCUGCCUCGUGCGCUCCGCCGCCUCGUUCCGUUCUCAUCCGGCUCCGGCAGGAUCCUCGCAAAGGCAGGCCUCCAUCUUCCCCUGCUCUGCCGCUACAAACCUCAACAACAAGUACAAGUCCGGCAACUGAACGCCACAAGCACCAGGUCGGCAUCGAUGACUCCCCUCUGGCUCUCUCCCACUGCAAUUCCGUGAUCUCCGAUGGCUGUAUCGCUUCUACCAGGGACGGUAUGCUAAUCCCUGAUUUUUCCUGAGCAACUCUGUAUCUGUUUUGUGGGUUCCCCUGUUUGAUGAAGGCGUCUUGUAUCAGCACGUGUUCUGCAGACCUAUGGGAAUUUGUUAGUGUAGAAAGACCUACAUAUGACAUUAUUGAACGCUAACUGAAUUUAUAUUGAACGCUAACUGACAUUGACAGUAAUUUGUGAUUUCUGGUUAGUCGUUGACAAAUUACCUUAUGUUGUUCUUUGCUAGUAACCAAUUUUUUUUUAAUUUUUUCUGUACUUCAACGUGAUUUUGACUUGACCAUUCUUUUGUGAAUCCAUGUUAACGGAAUGACAUGCUAAGCGUCCGAAGCUAAAAUUGGUAAUAAAGACAAAGGUGCCAAUAUAUAUUUCUGUUGUCACAUUGACUGUAUACUCCUUUUGACGACGUGAAGGUAAGUUCAGUUUCUUGAAAUUCAAGCAAGCUUGGAUCGAGUAACAGCUGCCUUCAUGAACUUAGAUUUUUUAAAAUCAUCUCUUUAGUAUAUAGCUUUUGUUCUUCACACAAAGAGUGAGUAAUGCCCAGAACAUGAUUUUUUUGGUUCUAACAGUGCAAGCUGUAAUGGCAAACUAUUUCCUAGUUCCUUCCAUAGGUUGAUCUACAAUUAAUCUUUUACUGUCUUCAGAAACUUAAUCAUAGUUGUGAAAUUGCAUUUGUUAGAUGUGCUAGAUAUUUAGCCUUUUCAGACGCUGUCAAAUUUUACUUAUUUAUUUCAAUACCUUGUUUUGCAGGGAUCACAGUAAAGCAAAGUCAUUCAUGCAUGACAAAUGGUUCUAGAGGAAGGCUGCGCUGCUUUCGAUCUCCCAGAAUACUGUGGCAUUGUGAACCCAGUCAAAAUUAGUUUAUAAAUUAGCAGAGAAGUGUGUUAUGCUCCAGUUCAACAGAACUUUUGUGUUGCUUUUUUAUUGCACAUGUGACUGAUGUCUGU